UUAUGGCCAUAUCACUUUGAAACACCAGUUCCCAUACGAUCACCAAAGUUAAGCAAUGUUGAUAUUGGUCAGUACCUAGAUAGGUGACCACUUGGGAUUAUCAGGUGCAGUAAG
This is a non-coding RNA of Acanthosepion pharaonis, 114 nucleotides long. The record is from the annotation of a GenBank genome assembly. NCBI's taxonomy places the organism in Eukaryota, Metazoa, Mollusca, Cephalopoda, Sepiida, Sepiidae.